RNAcentral lists this ribosomal RNA (938 nucleotides) under Pseudomonas putida. Its description in RNAcentral is "bacterial SSU rRNA". It matches the Rfam family "Bacterial small subunit ribosomal RNA", at positions 67 to 1005 of the family's 1533-position model. Lineage: Bacteria; Pseudomonadati; Pseudomonadota; Gammaproteobacteria; Pseudomonadales; Pseudomonadaceae. The record is from RNAcentral.
CGGAUUGAAGGGAGCUUGCUCCUGGAUUCAGCGGCGGACGGGUGAGUAAUGCCUAGGAAUCUGCCUGGUAGUGGGGGACAACGUUUCGAAAGGAACGCUAAUACCGCAUACGUCCUACGGGAGAAAGCAGGGGACCUUCGGGCCUUGCGCUAUCAGAUGAGCCUAGGUCGGAUUAGCUAGUUGGUGAGGUAAUGGCUCACCAAGGCUACGAUCCGUAACUGGUCUGAGAGGAUGAUCAGUCACACUGGAACUGAGACACGGUCCAGACUCCUACGGGAGGCAGCAGUGGGGAAUAUUGGACAAUGGGCGAAAGCCUGAUCCAGCCAUGCCGCGUGUGUGAAGAAGGUCUUCGGAUUGUAAAGCACUUUAAGUUGGGAGGAAGGGUUGUAGAUUAAUACUCUGCAAUUUUGACGUUACCGACAGAAUAAGCACCGGCUAACUCUGUGCCAGCAGCCGCGGUAAUACAGAGGGUGCAAGCGUUAAUCGGAAUUACUGGGCGUAAAGCGCGCGUAGGUGGUUCGUUAAGUUGGAUGUGAAAUCCCCGGGCUCAACCUGGGAACUGCAUCCAAAACUGGCGAGCUAGAGUAUGGUAGAGGGUGGUGGAAUUUCCUGUGUAGCGGUGAAAUGCGUAGAUAUAGGAAGGAACACCAGUGGCGAAGGCGACCACCUGGACUGAUACUGACACUGAGGUGCGAAAGCGUGGGGAGCAAACAGGAUUAGAUACCCUGGUAGUCCACGCCGUAAACGAUGUCAACUAGCCGUUGGGAGCCUUGAGCUCUUAGUGGCGCAGCUAACGCAUUAAGUUGACCGCCUGGGGAGUACGGCCGCAAGGUAAAACUCAAAUGAAUUGACGGGGGCCCGCCCAAGCGGUGGAGCAUGUGGUUUAUUCGAAGAACGCGAAGACCUUACCGGCCUUGCUUCCAUGGACUUUCCGAGAU